RNAcentral lists this ribosomal RNA (397 nucleotides) under uncultured bacterium. RNAcentral's name for it is "bacterial SSU rRNA". It matches the Rfam family "Bacterial small subunit ribosomal RNA", at positions 29 to 415 of the family's 1533-position model. The record is from RNAcentral.
AAUGAACGCUGGCGGCGCGCCUAAUACAUGCAAGUCGAGCGAGAAGACGUAGCAAUACGUUUGUAAAGCGGCGAACGGGUGAGGAAUACAUGGGUAACCUACCCUCGAGUGGGGAAUAACUAGCCGAAAGGUUAGCUAAUACCGCGUACGCUUCUUGGACUUCGGUUCAGGGAGGAAAGCGAUACCGUGGGUAUCGCGCUCUUGGAUGGGCUCAUGUCCUAUCAGCUUGUUGGUGAGGUAACGGCUCACCAAGGCUUCGACGGGUAGCUGGUCUGAGAGGACGAUCAGCCACACUGGCACUGCGACACGGGCCAGACUCCUACGGGAGGCAGCAGUAAGGAAUAUUGCGCAAUGGGCGAAAGCCUGACGCAGCGACGCCGCGUGGGGGAGUGAAGGU